Molecule: ribosomal RNA, 253 nt
Filed under: uncultured bacterium
Lineage: Bacteria
Description: partial 16S ribosomal RNA
Rfam family: Bacterial small subunit ribosomal RNA
Source: RNAcentral
UACGUAGGGUGCAAGCGUUGUCCGGAAUUAUUGGGCGUAAAGAGCUCGUAGGCGGUCUGUCGCGUCGGCUGUGAAAACCCGGGGCUCAACCCCGGGCCUGCAGUCGAUACGGGCAGACUAGAGUGCGGUAGGGGAGACUGGAAUUCCUGGUGUAGCGGUGAAAUGCGCAGAUAUCAGGAGGAACACCGGUGGCGAAGGCGGGUCUCUGGGCCGUAACUGACGCUGAGGAGCGAAAGUGUGGGGAGCGAACAGG